CACGAUAAUAGCACACCCGGAGUAAUCCGGGGCCGCAAAGCCAUGAGUCCCUCGAGGGAUCGUCAGGUUGCCGAAA
RNAcentral lists this non-coding RNA (76 nucleotides) under Elusimicrobiota bacterium. RNAcentral's name for it is "Elusimicrobia bacterium c-di-GMP sequence". It matches the Rfam family "c-di-GMP-I riboswitch aptamer". Rfam says of the family: GEMM was predicted in a large-scale screen for bacterial structured RNA regulatory elements. Genes associated with GEMM are involved in a diverse array of functions, including chemotaxis regulation, signal transduction, secretion and chitin. Lineage: Bacteria; Pseudomonadati; Elusimicrobiota. The record is from RNAcentral.